RNAcentral lists this ribosomal RNA (465 nucleotides) under uncultured bacterium. Its description in RNAcentral is "partial 16S ribosomal RNA". It matches the Rfam family "Bacterial small subunit ribosomal RNA", at positions 28 to 507 of the family's 1533-position model. The record is from RNAcentral.
GAUGAACGCUGGCGGCGUGCUUAACACAUGCAAGUCGAACGGAAAGGCUCCUGCUUGCAGGGGUACUCGAGUGGCGAACGGGUGAGUAACACGUGGGUGAUCUGCCCUGCACUUCGGGAUAAGCCUGGGAAACUGGGUCUAAUACCGGAUAGGACGAUGGUUUGGAUGCCAUUGUGGAAAGUUUUUCGGUGUGGGAUGAGCUCGCGGCCUAUCAGCUUGUUGGUGGGGUAAUGGCCUACCAAGGCGUCGACGGGUAGCCGGCCUGAGAGGGUGUACGGCCACAUUGAGACUGAGAUACGGCCCAGACUCCUACGGGAGGCAGCAGUGGGGAAUAUUGCACAAUGGGCGCAAGCCUGAUGCAGCGACGCCGCGUGGGGGAUGACGGCCUUCGGGUUGUAAACUCCUUUCGUCAGGGACGAAGCGAAAGUGACGGUACCUGGAUAAGAAGCACCGGCUAACUACGUG